UGUGCAGUAUGAGGUCUGUCCGUCUCCAUUUUGGAAGAGCGGAGUGAGGGAGAGAGUUGGGAUAGCGGCUUUUAAACUUGGAAAGAUCUGGUAAACAGGGAACAGUCCUCCUCAUGUACCAAGCGCUCGAUCGCUGCGUUUAGGGUUAAUAAGCUAUCAUAACUACGACUACUAGCGAGAAAAGACUAUUGAAGGACCAGAGCUUACGAUUCCUCAACGUGGCCUAAUACCCAACCCUUAAAGGAUCAUCUAACCGGGGCACGUACUGUUUACCGUGGGCUUGAAUUAAAACUGCAUCUCGAGUCGGGGAGCAGAUCCCCGCGGCCCUGUCGGAUCCAUAUACCCCCAAAACAGCCCACCUUUGUUCUGUCUCCGUUGUGGCAACAGUAACGAGAAUAAACCGCUCUCUUGUAUAAACACACAAAGGGAAUACAGUACAACAGCGAUGAACGAAGAAGUGGACGAAUUAUUCUCCGGAAACCACUCAGAUGAUGGCGGUGCCACUCCAGUGCAGGAUGAACACGAAGGCUCUGAUGCAGAAGGCGGCAGCCCUGCACCGCGCUCGGGUUCGGAGGCAGGCAGUGUAGGACUGCACUCGGAGGAAGAGAAAAGCGAUGAAGAUGACAGUCCCGCACACAGCAGGCAGAAGAACAGCAUGGCCAGUGAUUCAGAAAACGAAGACGCCCCCAGACAGCGAGGUAGCGACUCGGAAAAGGAAAAUGCUCCCAAGCCUCAUGACAGUGACUCGGAAAUUGAGGAGGAUCCUAAAAAUCAGGACAGUGACUCGGAAAAGGAGAAUGCUCCCAAGCCUCAUGACAGUGACUCAGAAAUUGAGGAGGCUCCCAAAAAUCAGGACAGUGACUCGGAAAAUGAAGCCGCUCCCAAACGUAAAGACAGUGACUCGGAAAAAGAGGAUGCACCCAAAAAUCAGGACAGUGACUCGGAAAAGGAGACUGCUCCCAGGCCUUAUGACAGCGACUCAGAAAUUGAGGAGGCUCCCAAAAAUCAGGACAGUGACUCGGAAAACGAAGCUGCUCCCAAACGUAAAGACAGUGACUCGGAAAAUGAGGAGGUUCCCAAAACCAAAGGGAGCGGGUCUGAAAAUGAGGACACCCCGAGACGCAAGCGCAGGAUAGAGUCAGAUGACGAGGCAGAUGGUGACAAAGAGAACGUCAGGAAGCAGAAGGGAGUGGUGAGUUCAGACAGCGAGGACGAGGUGAAGCCAUCACAAGCUGACGGCAGCGAUAGCGAGGAUGGAGAGGCACCCAAACGCCGCAAACUGGCUGAUAGUGAUGAGGAGGAGGAAGGGGAGAAACCAGUAAAGCGGAAGGUGGCGAUCCUGUCUGACAGCGAGGAUGAAGAGAAGGAAGAAACAUCCACUGUGAAGAAGAGCCGCAUCCUGUCGGAUGGAGAGGAAUCCGACACCAAUCAGAAGCUCAAGGCGCUGGGUUCAGACAGCGAGGAUGAGGAGGACAAGGAAGGAUCCACGAAGGAUGGGAAAACACUCUUUGGGAGUGACAGUGAGUCCGACAAUGAAGAGGAAAAAAUGAUUGCUGACAUUUUUGGGGAAUCUGGAGAAGAAGAUGAGGAGGAAGAAUUUACAGGGUUUAACCAGGAGGACCUGGAAGGAGAGAAGUCUAAAGCAGAGGCAGCAUCAAGGCAGCAGCAGGUGGCAGCAGCAGACUCCGACUCUGAUGACGUUGAAAGGGGUGGUAGAAAAGACUUCAUGUCUGACUUUGACGUGAUGCUGGCAAGGAAGAAAGCCCUGGGAGGGAAGCGACGGCGGAACCGUGACGGCGGCACGUUCAUCAGCGACGCGGACGACGUGGUCAGCGCCAUGAUCGCCAAGAUGACGGAGGCAGCCGAGGAGGACCGGACUCUGAAUGGCCAGAAGAAGCCAGCACUGAAGAAACUUACAUUGCUACCCACUGUCGUCAUGCACCUGAAGAAGCAAGAUUUAAAAGAGACGUUCAUUGACAGUGGUGUGAUGAGCGCUAUUAAAGAAUGGAUCGGCCCUCUCCCAGACAAGAGCUUGCCAGCGCUGAAGAUCCGAGAGGAGCUGCUCAGGAUCUUGCAAGAGCUGCCCAGUGUGAGCCAGGAGACCCUGAAGCACAGUGGGAUUGGCCGGGCUGUCAUGUACCUGUACAAGCACCCCAAGGAAUCCCGGAGCAAUAAAGACCUGGCGGGGAAGCUCAUCAAUGAGUGGUCCCGGCCCAUAUUUGGCUUGACGUCGAACUACAAGGCGAUGACGCGAGAGGAGAGGCAACAGAGAGAUCUGGACCAGCAGAUGCCAACACGUCGAAGACUGAGUUCUGGUGGACAGACUCCCCGCAGGGACCUGGAUAAGGUGCUCACAGGAGAAGAGAAGGCCCUGAGGCCAGGAGAGCCUGGGUUCUGUGCCCGUGCCAGGGUGCCCAUGCCCUCCAACAAGGACUACGUCGUGCGGCCAAGGUGGAAUGUCGAUACAGAAGCUAACCGGGCUGUGUCUUCAAAGAAAGGCCUCAGUCGCUUGGAGAAACACAAGAGACGCAUUGCUGAGCAGAGGAAGCGGCAAAAGCUACAGGGAGCUGUCAAGAUCAGCGUGGAGGGGAACCGAAUGCCUCUGUAGCACAUUGUGGCCAGCAAGGGGCAAGGGCCAAGGGCAAGGGGCAUCCUGACCAGGGGGUGCAAGUGGAACCUGCCCCUUCCUGGCACGGGGGCUUGACAUUGUGAGACAAAGCUUGCAGUGUGGUAGAACUCCUGCUCUCCCCAGUCCCUUGCUUUAGGUGUUCAGAAACAAAUGCCAACUAACCGUCUUUUAAUCAGUAUCAACAUAUUUCUUGUGAUUCAAGAAAGUAAGCUGUUGAGCACGUCCACCCAUUUCUCUUGCUAAGUGGUGCUGAAAGGAGGCAAAGUAGCUGGCCAAAUUUCACAGCGCUGUACACCUGAAGUCCCAUUGCUUAAGUCCUGGCUAAUCUUGGACUUUAGCACUAUUACUGUACUUUAGCAAACAAUAAAAUACUCCAUUGUAUUUGUUUUCUAGUACCAUUUGUUGUGGGCAAUCAUAGCAAAUUAUUGGCUGGUAUACACACUAAUGUAAUUGCAUACUGUACAAUGAAGACAAUGUUUUACUGCAGUUAUGAAAAGUUGCGUUUUCCAGUUCCGAGACUCCUGUCUUGGUCUUUGGAGAUGUGUAUUGUAUAACAUGGCUUGGGUGCUGCUGCUCCUGGUUGCAUGUCUGUGUGUGAAGAUCCCAUUCUUGCUCUCUGUAAAGCCUACAUUACCUCUUUCUAUAUCAACUGUACAGAAGUGCAACGUUGUGGAUUGUUUUUGCUGUGUUGAACUGCAUGCUGAUUUUUGGUGGUCUAACAGCAUCAGGUAGCCUGGUCUCCUUGGAGAGGGGCUAGUAAGAUUUCCCCCUCCUUCUGGACAGAUAGUCUGCCCUGAUGAUUGUUGCCCAAAAGCUAAGUGAACCAACAUUGAGAGCAUCACAGAGUGAGAGGUGCAGCUUGGUGAUGAGAGGCACCAGUAGGUGUUUAGGCAGCUGAACAAGAAUUUCAAUCCAGGAUCCCUUAAUGCUACUUCACACUUCCAUCGCUGAGGGACGUUUCAAUCUAGGCAUGUGCCUGUCUGGUGAUCCAAUUCCUGCCGGUCGGGUUACACGACCAUCUCAUGGGGCCAAUCAAGAAAGGGGUAACCCGCGUGGAUAAGCAGAUGCGGCGCUUUGCUGACAUCAAGAGGCUGACCAAGCCUGC
Molecule: RNA transcript, 3734 nt
Organism: Polyodon spathula (Mississippi paddlefish)
Lineage: Eukaryota; Metazoa; Chordata; Actinopteri; Acipenseriformes; Polyodontidae
Gene name: protein IWS1 homolog
Exons: 16
Source: RefSeq, a predicted model, not a curated record